This 856-nucleotide ribosomal RNA is filed under the name uncultured bacterium. RNAcentral describes it as "SSU rRNA". It matches the Rfam family "Bacterial small subunit ribosomal RNA", at positions 524 to 1381 of the family's 1533-position model. The record is from RNAcentral.
UACGAAGGGACCUAGCGUAGUUCGGAAUUACUGGGCUUAAAGAGUUCGUAGGUGGUUGAAAAAGUUGGUGGUGAAAUCCCAGAGCUUAACUCUGGAACUGCCAUCAAAACUUUUCAGCUAGAGUAUGAUAGAGGAAAGCAGAAUUUCUAGUGUAGAGGUGAAAUUCGUAGAUAUUAGAAAGAAUACCGAUUGCGAAGGCAGCUUUCUGGAUCAUUACUGACACUGAGGAACGAAAGCAUGGGUAGCGAAGAGGAUUAGAUACCCUCGUAGUCCAUGCCGUAAACGAUGUGUGUUAGACGUUGGAAAUUUAUUUUCAGUGUCGCAGCGAAAGCGUUAAACACACCGCCUGGGGAGUACGACCGCAAGGUUAAAACUCAAAUGAAUUGACGGGGACCCGCACAAGUAGUGGAGCACGUGGUUUAAUUCGAAGAUACGCGCAGAACCUUACCAACACUUGACAUGUUCGUCGCGACUCUAAGAGAUUAGAGUUUUCGGUUCGGCCGGACGAAACACAGGUGCUGCAUGGCUGUCGUCAGCUCGUGUCGUGAGAUGUUGGGUUAAGUCCCGCAACGAGCGCAACCCUCACUUUUAGUUGCCACCAUUAAGUUGGGCACUCUGAAAGAACUGCCAGUGAUAAGCUGGAGGAAGGUGGGGAUGACGUCAAGUCCUCAUGGCCCUUACGUGUUGGGCUACACACGUGCUACAAUGGUAUCUACAACAGGAAGCAAGACUGCGAAGUUAAGCAAAUCCCUAAAAGAUACCUCAGUUCGGAUUGCACUCUGCAACUCGAGUGCAUGAAGCUGGAAUUACUAGUAAUCGUGGAUCAGCGUGCCACGGUGAAUGCGUUCCCGGGUCU